UUCUGUGUCGACUGCUUGGAUUCAAUUCUGUAUCUGUUCCACUCUUGUUUAAUUUUCCAGCAAUGACGAGGUCUUGUUGGUCCCAUCAUCGGAUUAUGUAUAUUCUCUCGGACCAAAUACUUAUUGGUUUCCUAUCUGAUCUGCAAAGCGAUUUAGAUUCGAUUUCGUAGUGCAAUUCAGUGUUUUUAUUCUAGUUGGGAAGUUACAACCGACCGGUAUUUCCAGUGCUUAUAUAUUGACUGUGACCUUUCUACAGCAGUGGGGAACUUUUAUAUUCCUUAUGAAGUUAAAGUGAACACGUGGACGAGACGAAGUGUGUAACGAAUACAAACAAAAAAGAUUUAAACCAAGAUAUCAAGUUUUGAAAACAAAGGGGGUCAUGCAACUGUUUGUUUAAAUAUUCUAAAACAUAUAUCAAGAAGAUCAUAAAAAAUGUUAGUGGAAAAAUGCUUCUGAGAAGGAGCUCACUUUUUUCUGAAAUAAAGUGCAUUGUGCAAGUAAUAUUAAGCAGUCGAGGAGGUUAAAGCUGAUUUGCAUGGAACAUGGCAGCGUAGGCGACAUUAUUCAUGCAGCUUUCAAAUCCGCAAUUAAUUUGUAUUAUGCCUUCAAGCGACAACGAACUAGGAGAGGCAGUGACAAUCGCCUGCAGUUAAGACGACUGUACUCCAAUUGUUGCAUAGUGUCAAAUUCAGUGUCAACAAUCGCAUAACUUGUGCGAAUUGUAUAAUUUAUAAUGGUUUAGGACUAAGCGACUGAGCAUAUGCAUAUUGCAUGAAUAUGCACACAGCUUAGUUUAGUAGAUGACAUUUCUUGAGACUGUUUGAAAAAUUUUUGCAUUCUGUUAAAUUUUUGGAUUUACACCAACACUAGAUCUGCUGUCAGUAAUCAGCCGAAACUACCGAUAACGUUUACUAAAAUCAUACUGUAUGCUUUAAGAUUUUGAGUAAACAAAAUAUAUAAAUCAUAUUACGUUUAUGACAAUCUACAGUUGAAGUGUAAAUAUAACUGAAAAUUAUAAUUAAAAUGUUAACCGUUCUACAGUCAGUGUUAAAAAAUCGGAAUAACUCAAUAUUCACUUUCCUGAUUUGCUCGAGUGAAGUGUUCGAGUCUUGAGUAGAUAAAUCAAUGAGCAGGUUGUUUAAAGUGUUUAAAAGUAGAUAUAAGAACCUACAGCAUUAUGUCAUGCCUAAAUGUCAACUGAACAUUUUAUUGCUAUUGUUAUUCAUGUGAACGUCUAUUAUGUGUAUUAUAAUACCUGCACCAGCAAUGUACAAUUUACAAGACUCGCUCGGCUGAAAAAAGCCGGGUGGAAGUUGCAGUCGUCGACUUUAUUACAUAUUCUCGCAACUUUAUUACUUGACUAAUGAGUGGGGACCUAGUAAAAAAUAUGCUCACCACCUCGCAUCAUCACCAGUCUGUUUAUCACGUUAUUAAAUUCAUUAUCACGUUUUUAGCAAGGAGCUUCAUCUAAAUCGCGAUUAUCGUGCAUAACAAAACUGUUGCAAACAACAGAGACAGAGUACUUGCAGAAUUUUCUUGCUGAAUAAAUAAUCGCACAGUCAAACUCACUUGUAUAGUGAUUGGAUAGAGGAGGUAUGAACGUGCUAAAAAGCAAGGAAUACAUCCAUAUUGACUUACUGCCCCCUACUGUUCAGCUUGUUCUUGAAAUUUGUUAUACAGGUCUUGUUAAAACCAGCUCCAUCAUACAUUAUCGGUUACACAAACGCCGGAUGAAUUGAAAUUAAAUUAAGUUGAUGUUAAUAUGAAGACGGAAAGAAGAGGUCCAACCAACGUACUGACUUAGCUUCAGUCCACCAGACUGAGGAGACAGAGAAUGCAUAAUUUGCUCUUGUUUCACACUUGGAGGACUCUGCUAAUACAUACAUACACAUUCUGCUAAAUAUGUAUGGAAUAUCACCAUCGUCAUCACCAGGAUCGACACAGAGUGCUGCGGAUAAUGUGAUCAAAAUCCAGUCACUGGAUCAGAACAUUGCCGGCUAGAUCGGUGCUGGGAGUUGUGUCGAUGUGAUUAGUGCAGCAGAGUGGAAAAGUGAUAGUUUAUUUUAAAAUGCAUGUGCACAUUAGAGCUACAACUACUAAUUGUGUUCUGAAGGUGACAAAGUGAGAAAAAUUCUAACAAAUAAACCAACACUGCCUGUGUUCAAGUUGCAUUCCAAAAUGUUAGAGUGCAAAUUAUUACCCAGCACCCAUCAAUGGUGGCUCUCUUUAAAUGUGGCGAUGUGUGCCAUAUUCCUACUGAUGCACACUUGUCAUGCCGGUCCGGAUUACUGCAUGAUGCCUCCAGAUCGGGGCAACUGUACGGAAGUAUUAUACAAAUAUUAUUUCUCUCCGGAAUAUACACAUUGCCCAAUGUUCGUCUGGAGUGGGUGCGAAGGAAAUGACAACAGAUUUGAUGAUCGCCACUCAUGUAUGCAAAUAUGUACGGGAAAUUAUACCGAUGAGGAAGUCAGAAUGGGUGUGCCUUUUAUGAGUCCGACUGUUUCUAGUAAAACUGCGACAGUUCCUGACAGUGUUGAAUAUGACGAUUCUCACCCAAAGGAAUAUUCAGUGUCUCCAUUUCUUGUCCUGGACAAUGGAACGCAACAAUCCACAUUUACAUUCACAACUUCUUCGUCUUUCAUCCAGAUAGAACCACAAGAAUUAACAGAUUACCAAAUUAGAAAUCGCAGAAGCGUCUCUUUAGAGUUUCGGACUCGUAUACCUCAUGCUUUAUUGGUUUAUCAUGGCCUACGCAACAGACCAGAUUCAAUUAAAAAGUACGAGUUGUACGUAAUGUUGGAUCAAGGCCAACUGAAAAUAAAACACAAGUUUGGGGACUUUACGACAACAUUAAUUGUGGGAAAAGGUCUCAAUCGGGAUCAGUGGCACAAAGUCCGUGUGAUGAUUGAUCCUAGUGAACGCCGUAUCUCAGCGAUAGUCGAUGACGUCGAGAAAGAAAUGGAGAUUGAUGGAUUGGCAGAACAUCAUUUAUACGGAGCUUACGAUGUAGACCUUGAGUCAAUUAUCUUUAUUGGGGGCCUAAGUGAAGGCGAUGGCAAUGUUGGGAUUUCCUACUUUGCAAAUCCAUUGGUCGGAUGCCUUCGAAAUGUCAUUCUUGAGACGUCACCCUUGAAGACGAGUACCCUGGAGCCGUUGAUACCCUUGGUGUCUGGAGCAUAUAAAAAUAUUGACGAACAUUGCUACAAUAAAUGUUGGUCCCGAGAUUCGGGUUGUUCUAGAGACAGCGAGUGCAUCAACCACUAUGAUCAUGUUGAAUGCGAUUGCUUCGAUGCCAAAUUCAAAGGAGAUAGCUGCAAGGAUACGAGUGAAAUAAUCUUAACGUUGAACGGGUACUCAUACGUUACAUUCGCUAUUUAUGAAUGGAUGGACAGAGUUCAUUCAGACUCCAACAGAAUCAGUAUGCGUUUCAUGACACAAUUAGAUGACUCAAUUUUAUUCUAUGCUGCUGGAGAAAUUCCAUUUCACAAUCAUGUUGCCGUGUCCGUGUUCAAUAACAGCCUCCUCGUCGACAUUGAUUUUGGAGAUGAUGAACCUAUUGUGGUGAAAUUCACUACGCGUGUUACUGAUGGGAAAUGGCACACCUUGACGAUUUUGCAUGAGGAAAUCGACAUUGCAGUUCACUUGGAUAAAACUGUUCAAAAGUUUACAUUAACAGGGCCGAAUCGAUACCUUUACAUUGAUCCGGAUGUGUACCUUGGUGGCGGAGGCUUAAACCUGAAGCAUCGCAAUGGGCUCAAGUCGUUCAAUAACUUUGUUGGUUGUUUAGAGGAAGCCUAUUUUAAUACAAAGUCAAUUUUAUUCGAAUUGCGACAACACAGCCACCAAGCUCAGCAUCACGGUUUAAUGCCACCCGAGUUUAAUAACUGCAACCCAGAGAAAACCAUUCCAAUUACAAUCCCUUUUGCAGAUUCUGGCUUCAAAGUUUCUAAUCCUAAUGCUACCGAACUUCAUUUAAAAUUUUCUUUUAAAACAAAUGAGACUUAUGCAACUCUAGCGUACUCUGAUGUUCGUACAAUGAUUGGAGAAGGUUUUUGGGAGCUCAAAUUUAGCCCUAGUGCUUUAAUUUUCGAAUAUUUUCCGGAUAAAAGCCAAACGCAAUAUACCACUCCCACGCAAUUUGAGGUUAAUUACAAAAAGAGACAAAACUAUUGGCACACAAUUGAGCUGCAGAUAAAAGGGGGUCACGUAUCAUUGACUGUGGAUGGCCAAAGUUCCGAGCAAGAAAUAUCACACUUGCAGCAGUUAUCAGCAGUGAUUACUUUGGGGACAUCCGUGUACAAACCAAACGAUGGCUUCCUUGGAUGCAUUCGACGGGUUGAAAUUGGAGGAAAGUUUAUCGAUGCAAGAACUAUAGUUGGGUCUGACGACCAAAUUGGAGAUAUUGCCCUUGAUAACUGCCAAUUCAUGGAUCCUUGUAACCGUCCAGAUGUUUGCGAACAUGGUGGAAUUUGCAAAGUUAUCGAUUCAAAUGUAACUUGUGACUGUCGUGAUAGCGGGUACACUGGAAAGCAUUGUCAUUUUGCAAUUUUCAAACGCACUUGUGAAGAGCUGGCAUUAUUGGGUUACACGGAAUCUGGAGUAUACAAAAUUGAUAUUGACGGCAACGGCCCUUACCCUCCCACACAUGUCAAAUGCAAAUUUGAAACUGGUGACACCGGUGAAACGAAGACAAUUGUGGAACAUAAUCUUGCCAAUGAAACCGAUGUUUGGGGGAUGAACAAAUCAGAUUUCAAGUUGGAAUUAAGCUAUCGCGAAUUUACCUCAGAAAUGCUUUUGUCGCUCAUUUCUCAAUCUGUUCAGUGCAGCCAACACAUCAAGUUUGACUGUUUCAAAGCGAAAUUAGGCUUGUACCAAUUUACGUGGUUCAAGUCUGCAGAUCCCAAUGCUCCAAAAGUCGUCAGUAUUGGAGAUGCGAGAAGAAACACGUGUCCAUGCUAUGAAGCCGAUACUUGCGUCAAGGGGGAACAAUGCAAUUGCGAUUCUGGAGAGGAUAAAUGGUUGCAUGACGAAGGCUAUUUUACAGCUCCUGAUCGACUUGGUAUAACUGAAUUAAGUUUCAUCUAUCCACGGGACAGUUCAUCAGAUGCAAAGGCCAGGAUAACCUUAGGUCCAUUGGAGUGUGUAGAAGCAAAUACUCAGAGAUACGUAGUGACAUUUAAGACUUUUGGAUCUUAUCUGGAAGCUCCCGGAUGGAAAUCUGGUGAUUUGGCCUUCAGUUUUAGAACAACAAGAUCUUCUGGAAUUCUUCUAUAUCAACCACUGUUGCAUCAGCAACAUAAUUCUUUCUCUGUAUUUUUAACCAAUGAUCAUGAGCUUACUUUCCGCUUUGUCCUGAAUGGGAGACCCCAACCAACAGUGACUGUUCGAUCCCAAAGGUCUUUAUCUGGUGGUGAUUGGCAGCAAGUCUGGAUCGAUUAUGAUUUACAUCAAGUUAGGUUCCAAAUAAACCGAGAACAUCAAAUGAUUAAUUUACCUGACGGCCAACAAUUUGGACCGUUUGAAGGGAUCAUGUAUAUCGCCGGCGCACCUGCGAGAUACUUGCCUGAAAUCCAUGUUAAGGAGGGAUUAAUAGGUUGUUUCCGAGGGUUAGUGAUGAAUAACCAAGUGGUCGACCUUUACUCGUACAUGAAAUUUCAUAAGGCAGACAUUGUCAAAGACUGCAGUCCCUCUUGCGACCCUAACCCUUGCCAAAACAAGGGCAUUUGCCAAGAAAAUUGGGGGUCAUUUUCCUGCCAGUGUUCAAAUCCUUGGGCUCACACUGGGACGCUAUGUGAAACAGAUAUAAAUAAUGAUGGGUUGACUUUUCUCAGUCAAAGUUCGUACAUUAAACGCCAAUCCCUUGGGGCAAAUAUUGAUCCAAUAAUGAAUAUCUUGACCUCAAAUAUUUAUCUCAAUCUCCGCACGUAUGAUGAAGAAGCUCUUGUCCUGUAUGCGAACGACAAUUUGAAUAACUUUGUACAACUUCACAUUGAUGCUGGGAACAAUGUUACGUUCAUGUGGAACGACGGGCAUUUUAUCGAAAAAAUUUCUGUGCAUCAGAAGCGUCUAAAUCAUGGAAAUCCUAUCCAAAUUGCUGUUAGGAGAAAUUCCUCCCACACAAUUCUUCAUGUGAAUGACAAAACUGGAGUUUCCAAAAGUGGUGUGAGUUUGUUGAAGGAGUACAGGGAAAAUCCAUGGGUUAAUCCCAUUUUGGAAACUUUUGCGCCGCCACGCCCAUUUGCGCCAGCCGCACCUUACUACCAACUCUUCCUCGGUGGGUUCGACAACUCGGCAGUUAAACCUAUUAACAAUACCGCCCGUUCCAUCCCUGGAAUGCUGGGUUGUUUAAGAGGCUUUAAAAUUGGGAAUGAGCAAAUCCCAAUUAGCAACAUGGCUAAUCAAAAUGAUGUUUUGGAAGGUUGUAAAAUGGUGUGUGAUACCAAGCCAUGUCAUAAUGCUGGAAUAUGCAUGGAGGACUUUACUUCAAGGCAGUACUCAUGCGAUUGCACAUUUACCUCCUAUUAUGGUCCAGCAUGUAAAGAAGAGCGAGGGGCAACUUUCCAAGGAGAGUCAUAUAUUCGACGACGGUUCAAUAAUCCAGCAGAUACCGUUAUGGAGAUUGAAACACGUUUUGGAUUUUCUUCCAAUUUCUUCAAUGGGAAAGAAACUGUUCUUCUCACGGUACAGAUUCCUGGACAAAAUUACUCUUUAUUGUUCGCAAUAAAUGCUGAGGGACAUCUUAUUCUGAUGGAAACUGGUACAAAUGGAGUUGAGGGUGCCAAAAUAAAAUAUCAGCAUUUUAUAGACGGAUCUCGACACUCAGUUUACUAUAAAAGGAAUUCUGACGAAACAAUCUUCAUUGUGGACCAAGAAGAAAUUCAUCUUUCGAGUCUAAACACAAAGAAACCAAAAUUUCAGUUGAUUCCGAAUCAAAAUCUCAAUGUGGGAGAAAUAUUUGUUGGAGGAGUCAAUGAAGCAGUUCCAGACCUAAUUAAUUAUAAAAGGUUUAAAGGAUGUUUGUCUAAUAUUUACGUCGCGGUCAACAAGUUGGAGCUCCGUACACUGGAUGAAUAUAUGGGUUAUUUAAAGAAGCCAGCGGAUCAGUUGUUGGACAUGGACAAUGUGGAAGGGAUCAAAGCCAGUACUUGUGGGGCUUUCUUUGCAUUUAAACCUCCUUCCGUUUUAAUUCCCAAAGAUUUGGCACCGAUGGAAAAUGGAAAUGCUGAUUGGAGAGUUUCGAUUCCUAAAAAGACAAAUAUUUAUCUUGCAAAAUCUGAAGAACCAGAUCAAGCAGGAAUUUCGUUCGACAUGGUGGCAUUAAUCCUUGGCUUGUUCUUGGGAAUCUUGGUCUUAUCCGUAUUAGUUUAUGCUUACAAACUGAACAAACGGUACAAAAGGAGAAAGUACUUUGAAGAUGAUGAUGACGAUGAUUACUUUAGUCAUCGGACAAGUGGUCAACCAGUCCGGUAUCACGAUCCUACAAAUACAGAGCUUAAAUAUGUUGGAUAUCGUCAAACGAACCCUGAUCCUGUUAGCAUUAGUGAAAAUAACCAUGCCAAAUCAAGUUCAAAUAGGAUUAAUGGGGACAUUACAAACGCUGAGGCAGAAGAAGAUUUGUUACAAAUGGACAACGGGGACGAGGAAUCCAGCGACACGACGUCACAGAACGAAUCGGAAGUAGGAUCUCAGUCAGGAUCCUCCCAAUUUGACAAUCAAAACUUGGACGACAAGGAGGAAAUGAGAAAUGGCAAAUAUGAAAUGGACGACUAUGGCAGCCUAAUUUUCGAGAAGAGUUGAUCCCGAAAGUUUCUUGCUUUCUUCGUUCAGGGUUACACAUUAUUUCACAAACCUCUCUUUCUAAACGCUUUUUACCUUGAACAAUUCAGUAUUCAACUAACUACCAACCACUAAUCCCACGUUACAUUAAUUUUAUAAGAGUUUUUGGUGUCGGUAUGCAUUACUAACCCUGCUAGUAGUUUUUACUUACUUUUUUUUUACGAAAGUUUCAAAAUUUGAAUGCAUUAUAACCAGCUACCUGUUUACGUUCAUUUGAUUACCCUAAAAUUGCUACUGUAAAAUUGCUUUGGUAUAUGAUUUUUGUCCGUGUUGAUUUAUACGCCUAUAUAUUACUGGUGAUUGUGGAUAGUUGUGGUACUGUUAUCAUAAAUUGGUGAUGGAAACUUUGCAACUAUUAUUUGCAACAUACAUAACACACUAUGAAGUCACUAUGUAUUUAUUUACGGUUCGCGUUGCAAACUUUCUCUGUUCUUCUCUAUUUUCUGUUUUACUACUGUCGACAGGGAGUUGAGGAUCCUGUAGAAGAAUCCUCUUCUCAGCCUAAACUUGUUGAUGGGGACUUGUCACUAAAGGAGGAGGAAGAAGACGAAAAUCCCAAUGAUAAAGCCAAAGUUAAACCCAAAACGAACCACAUCCGUCCU
Molecule: RNA transcript, 8438 nt
Organism: Folsomia candida
Lineage: Eukaryota; Metazoa; Arthropoda; Collembola; Entomobryomorpha; Isotomidae
Gene: axo
Gene name: contactin-associated protein-like 5
Exons: 42
Source: RefSeq, a predicted model, not a curated record